UACGUAGGGUGCGAGCGUUGUCCGGAAUUAUUGGGCGUAAAGGGCUCGUAGGCGGUUUGUCGCGUCGGGAGUGAAAUCCACUGGCUUAACUGGUGGCUUGCUUUCGAUACGGGCAGACUGGAGGUAUGCAGGGGAGAAUGGAAUUCCCGGUGUAGCGGUGAAAUGCGCAGAUAUCGGGAGGAACACCGGUGGCGAAGGCGGUUCUCUGGGCCUUACCUGACGCUGAGGAGCGAAAGCGUGGGGAGCGAACAGG
This 253-nucleotide ribosomal RNA is filed under the name uncultured bacterium. Its description in RNAcentral is "partial 16S ribosomal RNA". It matches the Rfam family "Bacterial small subunit ribosomal RNA", at positions 524 to 776 of the family's 1533-position model. The record is from RNAcentral.